RNAcentral lists this ribosomal RNA (215 nucleotides) under Campeiostachys nutans. RNAcentral describes it as "Elymus nutans partial small subunit ribosomal RNA". The stretch from base 42 to 215 matches the Rfam family "Eukaryotic small subunit ribosomal RNA", at positions 689 to 864 of the family's 1831-position model. Lineage: Eukaryota; Viridiplantae; Streptophyta; Magnoliopsida; Poales; Poaceae. The record is from RNAcentral.
GGAUCAGUUGGUCGGUCGUGCCUCGGUGCGUACUGGUCAAAUUGAUUCCUACCUUCUGACGAACCACGAUGUCAUUAAUUUGGUGUCGUGGGAAAUCAGGACUGUUACUUUGAAAAAAUUAGAGUGUUUAAAGCAGGCUCGCGCUUGAAUACAUUAGCAUGGGAUAAUGAAAUAGGACGUUUGAUUCUAUUUUGUUGGUUUUCAAGACCGAAGUA